This is a long non-coding RNA of Centrocercus urophasianus (Greater sage-grouse), 289 nucleotides long. RefSeq lists it as uncharacterized. The transcript has 3 exons. The record is from RefSeq and is a predicted model, not a curated record. Lineage: Eukaryota; Metazoa; Chordata; Aves; Galliformes; Phasianidae.
GGAACGGAGCGUUAUGGACUGACUGAAGCCCCCAUUCCUGCCUCCUCGUCCCAUUACCUUGCGCUGCUCAGGAGGAAGAGCUUUGCAGUUUCCUUCUGUUCUUUAGGAAACUUAUUAAAAAAUCUGAUUGAAAUAAACGUUUGUGUGGGGAAAAUACAGAUGGCUGAACAGAUGAUCAACGCAUGAAAAAGGAUUCUUAUUAUCUUGGAAACACAGGUGUCACUCGGAACACUGGUACCUGUCCAGACUGUGGUUAAUAUCAUCAAGAUAACUGAACUCAAAAGGAGCA